GAGUUUGAUCUUGGCUCAGAACGAACGCUGGCGGCAUGCCUAACACAUGCAAGUCGAACGAUGGCUUCGGCCAUAGUGGCGCACGGGUGCGUAACGCGUGGGAAUCUGCCCUUGGGUUCGGAAUAACUCAGAGAAAUUUGAGCUAAUACCGGAUGAUGUCGAAAGACCAAAGAUUUAUCGCCCAGGGAUGAGCCCGCGUAGGAUUAGCUAGUUGGUGGGGUAAAGGCUCACCAAGGCGACGAUCCUUAGCUGGUCUGAGAGGAUGAUCAGCCACACUGGGACUGAGACACGGCCCAGACUCCUACGGGAGGCAGCAGUGGGGAAUAUUGGACAAUGGGCGAAAGCCUGAUCCAGCAAUGCCGCGUGAGUGAUGAAGGCCCUAGGGUUGUAAAGCUCUUUUACCCGGGAUGAUAAUGACAGUACCGGGAGAAUAAGCCCCGGCUAACUCCGUGCCAGCCGCCGCCGUAAU
Molecule: ribosomal RNA, 469 nt
Filed under: uncultured Alphaproteobacteria bacterium
Lineage: Bacteria; Pseudomonadati; Pseudomonadota; Alphaproteobacteria
Description: bacterial SSU rRNA
Rfam family: Bacterial small subunit ribosomal RNA
Source: RNAcentral